Molecule: ribosomal RNA, 253 nt
Filed under: uncultured bacterium
Lineage: Bacteria
Description: partial 16S ribosomal RNA
Rfam family: Bacterial small subunit ribosomal RNA
Source: RNAcentral
UACGGGGGGGGCAAGCGUUGUUCGGAAUUACUGGGCGUAAAGGGCUCGUAGGCGGCCAACUAAGUCCGACGUGAAAUCCCCAGGCUCAACCUGGGAACUGCGUCGGAUACUGGAUGGCUUGAAUUCGGGAGAGGGAUGCAGAAUUCCAGGUGUAGCGGUGAAAUGCGUAGAUAUUGGGAAGAAUACCGGUGGCGAAGGCGGCUCUCUGGACCGACACUGACGCUGAGGCGCGAAAGCGUGGGGAGCAAACAGG